UUACUACUUGGAUAACCGUGGUAAUUCUAGAGCUAAUACAUGCUGAAAAUCCCGACUUCGGAAGGGAUGUGUUUAUUAGAUAAAAAACCAAUGCCCUUCGGGGCUCCUUGGUGAUUCAUAAUAACUUUACGGAUCGCAUAGCCUUGCGCUGGCGACGGUUCAUUCAAAUUUCUGCCCUAUCAACUUUCGAUGGUAAGGUAUUGGCUUACCAUGGUUUCAACGGGUAACGGGGAAUUAGGGUUCGAUUCCGGAGAGGGAGCCUGAGAAACGGCUACCACAUCCAAGGAAGGCAGCAGGCGCGCAAAUUACCCAAUCCCGAUUCGGGGAGGUAGUGACAAUAAAUACUGAUACAGGGCUCUUUUGGGUCUUGUAAUUGGAAUGAGUACAAUUUAAACCUCUUAACGAGGAACAAUUGGAGGGCAAGUCUGGUGCCAGCAGCCGCGGUAAUUCCAGCUCCAAUAGCGUAUAUUAAAGUUCCCCUGGGUGGGGGGAACACUGAUGUUUUGGGUUGCAUGUCCCAGAAACGUGGUGAUCGAUGCUGGCAUGAAGUUGACCUCGCUUACUAAGAAAUUACUAAGCCUCUAAGAAAAGUGGAGAUCAACCACGUGACAGCAGUGUUCACGGAAAUAAGCGAGUUCCUUACCACACACGGCGUACCUCACCGUGGUUCAGGGGUGUAACGAUGGAGGUUCGGGAUAAAACCCCCCCGACUCAGAAGGCAGUAAUGUCGACCCAGGGUGCUCCACGGCUAAACGUCGGGCAAACUUCAGCAAUGAUUAUAGCCAAAAUCGCCCAACUGAGGGCCCUCCAUCAGUCGUAUGGGAAUCUACGUUAAGAUUUCCCUACUAAAGGUUGGGCCAUGGCCUCUGCUACCCCUUUAGUAGUCCUGAAAGCCCACUAUCCCAAUACCGUCUGGCCAAUAACCAAAGACGGAAAUCGAGGAUAAGAAAAACAUGCAAAACGAAGGUAUUGUGGCAGACUGUAUAAGCAUGGCAGUGGAGAUGUUUAGAAACAGGGGCUGGGGGAUCUGGCAAAUCACCAGCAACAACAAUCAGCCAUAAAGAAAGAGAAUAAGAUGGAGUGACUACCAAAUUUAUCUUCUCCUACGGAUAAACUGGUAAUAUACUGCCUUGGCAAAGCAGUAAUACCCAAAAGAUACGAACGGCUUAGCAACCGGGGAGAGUUAGGCUUCUAUGGGUCACUGCUCCCAAAAGGUGACACUAGAUUAUAAUGCUUAGCUGAAGGAACUCAACAUUGACGGCAUGAAUGGUUAUGCGUGGAGAUUAGUGGGAAGUCUAAACGUAUGGGGAUUGCAGGAAAAUGAUUGUGUGAUAACGGAAUAGUAGCAGGAUAUAUUAAAUACUAUGAUGAUGUUAAGAAGUAACCGAAGUUGAUAUAAAAUUGAGGUGAGUCAAUUUAAUCAAGCACACACAAAGAGGGAUGAAGCGAAAUUGAAGAUAAAAAGAAGAUUGCGAAGCGUGGACCCUCCAUCAGUCUGCCUACUACUAAGGCUGAAAGGUUAAAGGCGCUGGCAUACUAUAAACACUGAAGCCUAACCUCGGAAGGGUAACAGUGACAUAUUAGUAUGGAUGAAAAGGCCUCGGCCUAUACAUUUGGGACAGCGCUAUUAAUAAAUUAUACCCGGUGUUUACAAUAAGAGAAACGGGGAAGGGGUUCGAUUCCUCCGCUGACUGGUGCCUGAUGGCAGGUUCCCUUAUAAGAGGAUACAAUCCCAAAUGUAGAAUCUUAGUCUCUGUAAACACUAAAAAUCAGUCCAAUAGCGUAUAUUAAAGUUGUUGCAGUUAAAAAGCUCGUAGUUGAAACUUGGGUCUGGCUGGCGGGUCCGCCUCACCGCGUGCACUCGUCCGGCCGGGCCUUCCUUCUGAAGAACCUCAUGCCCUUUACUGGGCGUGUUGGGGAAUCAGGACUUUUACUUUGAAAAAAUUAGAGUGUUCAAAGCAGGCCUUUGCUCGAAUACGUUAGCAUGGAAUAAUAAAAUAGGGCGUGCGUUUCUAUUUUGUUGGUUUCUAGAGACGCCGCAAUGAUUAACAGGAACAGUCGGGGGCAUCAGUAUUCAGUUGUCAGAGGUGAAAUUCUUGGAUUUACUGAAGACUAACUACUGCGAAAGCAUUUGC
Molecule: non-coding RNA, 2135 nt
Filed under: Pyrenophora teres f. teres 0-1
Lineage: Eukaryota; Fungi; Ascomycota; Dothideomycetes; Pleosporales; Pleosporaceae
Description: Eukaryotic small subunit ribosomal RNA
Rfam family: Eukaryotic small subunit ribosomal RNA
Source: Rfam by way of RNAcentral